Molecule: small RNA, 645 nt
Filed under: Pongo abelii (Sumatran orangutan)
Lineage: Eukaryota; Metazoa; Chordata; Mammalia; Primates; Hominidae
Description: processed transcript
Source: RNAcentral
CAAAAGAUUGAAGCGCUCGUGAAGGACAUGCAGAACCCGGAGACAGGGGUCCGAAUGCAGAACCAGAGGGUCCUGGUCACCAGCGUUCCUCAUGCCAUGACAGGAAGUGAUGUUCUGCAAUGGAUCAUCCAGCGGCUUUGGAUCUCCAGUCUGGAGGCACAGAACUUGGGCAACUUUAUUGUCCGGUAUGGCUACAUUUACCCUCUGCAAGACCCCAAGAAUCUCAUUCUCAAGCCUGAUGGCAGCCUCUACCGAUUUCAGACACCGUAUUUCUGGCCCACCCAGCAGUGGCCAGCUGAAGAUACUGAUUACGCCAUCUAUCUGGCCAAGCGAAAUAUCAAGAAGAAAGGGAUUUUGGAAGAAUAUGAAAAGGAAAAUUACAAUUUCUUGAACCAAAAAAUGAACUAUAAGUGGGACUUUGUCAUUAUGCAGGCCAAAGAGCAGUACAGGGCUGGAAAGGAGAGGAACAAAGCAGACAGAUAUGCCCUGGACUGCCAGGAGAAGGCAUACUGGCUGGUGCACCGAUGCCCUCCUGGAAUGGACAAUGUGCUGGACUACGGCCUGGACCGAGUGACCAAUCCGAAUGAAGUCAAGGUAAACCAGCUAUCUAUCUAUCUCCUGUCUGUGCACUCUGGCUGCUGUGGA